AGGGGGAGCCAUCUUCAACGGCUCUGCCAGCAGAGAUUCUACAAAAGAGUGCCUUGAUGGCACCUCAAGUUAAAUCAGCGACGGUGGCGCCAUCAUCGGCAGACGCGGAGUUUUCUGGGUCCUUGCUGCCCAUCGUGACAAGUCAGAGGGAGAGAUAUCGCGUGCGCAACCAGGAGCUAGAGGCGACGAACCAGCAGCAGCAGCAGACGCUC
Long non-coding RNA from Priapulus caudatus, 212 nucleotides. RefSeq lists it as uncharacterized. The record is from RefSeq and is a predicted model, not a curated record. NCBI's taxonomy places the organism in Eukaryota, Metazoa, Priapulida, Priapulimorpha, Priapulimorphida, Priapulidae. The transcript is spliced from 3 exons.